Molecule: ribosomal RNA, 252 nt
Filed under: uncultured bacterium
Lineage: Bacteria
Description: partial 16S ribosomal RNA
Rfam family: Bacterial small subunit ribosomal RNA
Source: RNAcentral
UACGGGGGAGCAAGCGUUGUUCGGAUUUACUGGGCGUAAAGGGCGCGUAGGCGGUCGUGACAAGUCACUUGUGAAAUCUCCGGGCUUAACUCGGAACGGUCAAGUGAUACUGUCGGACUAGAGUACAGAAGGGGCAACUGGAAUUCUCGGUGUAGCGGUGAAAUGCGUAGAUAUCGAGAGGAACACCUGCGGCGAAGGCGGGUUGCUGGGCUGAUACUGACGCUGAGGCGCGAAAGCCAGGGAGCGAACGGG